UACGUAGGGUGCGAGCGUUAAUCGGAGUUACUGGGCGUAAAGCGUGCGCAGGCGGCUUUGCAAGACAGAUGUGAAAUCCCCGGGCUCAACCUGGGAACUGCAUUUGUGACUGCAAGGCUAGAGUACGGCAGAGGGGGAUGGAAUUCCGCGUGUAGCAGUGAAAUGCGUAGAUAUGCGGAGGAACACCAAUGGCGAAGGCAAUCCCCUGGGCCUGUACUGACGCUCAUGCACGAAAGCGUGGGGAGCAAACAGG
Molecule: ribosomal RNA, 253 nt
Filed under: uncultured bacterium
Lineage: Bacteria
Description: partial 16S ribosomal RNA
Rfam family: Bacterial small subunit ribosomal RNA
Source: RNAcentral